GACGAACGCUGGCGGCGUGCUUAACACAUGCAAGUCGAACGAAGAGCGAUGGAAGCUUGCUUCUAUCAAUCUUAGUGGCGAACGGGUGAGUAACGCGUAAUCAACCUGCCCUUCAGAGGGGGACAACAGUUGGAAACGACUGCUAAUACCGCAUACGAUCUGACCUCGGCAUCGAGGAUAGAUGAAAGGUGGCCUCUACAUGUAAGCUAUCACUGAAGGAGGGGAUUGCGUCUGAUUAGCUAGUUGGAGGGGUAACGGCCCACCAAGGCGAUGAUCAGUAGCCGGUCUGAGAGGAUGAACGGCCACAUUGGGACUGAGACACGGCCCAGACUCCUACGGGAGGCAGCAGUGGGGAAUCUUCCGCAAUGGACGAAAGUCUGACGGAGCAACGCCGCGUGUGUGAUGACGGCCUUCGGGUUGUAAAGCUCUGUUAAUCGGGACGAAAGGCCUUUUUGCGAAUAGUGAGAAGGAUUGACGGUACCGGAAUAGAAAGCCACGGCUAACUACGU
This 509-nucleotide ribosomal RNA is filed under the name uncultured bacterium. Its description in RNAcentral is "partial 16S ribosomal RNA". It matches the Rfam family "Bacterial small subunit ribosomal RNA", at positions 28 to 506 of the family's 1533-position model. The record is from RNAcentral.